This 484-nucleotide ribosomal RNA is filed under the name uncultured bacterium. RNAcentral's name for it is "partial 16S ribosomal RNA". It matches the Rfam family "Bacterial small subunit ribosomal RNA", at positions 30 to 507 of the family's 1533-position model. The record is from RNAcentral.
AUUGAACGCUGGCGGCAGGCCUAACACAUGCAAGUCGAGCGGAUGAAGGGAGCUUGCUCCUGGAUUCAGCGGCGGACGGGUGAGUAAUGCCUAGGAAUCUGCCUGGUAGUGGGGGAUAACGUCUGGAAACGGGCGCUAAUACCGCAUACGUCCUGAGGGAGAAAGAGGGGGAUCUUCGGACCUCACGCUAUCAGAUGAGCCUAGGUCGGAUUAGCUAGUUGGUGGGGUAAAGGCCUACCAAGGCGACGAUCCGUAACUGGUCUGAGAGGAUGAUCAGUCACACGAGAACGUGGACACGGUCAUGGCUCCUAAGGGACGGAGCAGUGGGGAAUGGUAGACAAUAGGCGAAAAUAUGGCACAGUCGGGGCGAGUGUGAUGAGAAGGUCUUCGGAUUGUAAAGCACUUUUACUGGUGAUGAAGGGCAGUAGGUUAAUACGUAGCUGUUUUGACGUUACCAACAGAAGAAGCACCGGCUAACUACGUG